Molecule: long non-coding RNA, 944 nt
Filed under: Androctonus crassicauda
Lineage: Eukaryota; Metazoa; Arthropoda; Arachnida; Scorpiones; Buthidae
Source: RNAcentral
CAAGAAAAAUAUUCAUAAAAAUUUUUCACCCAGAAUUGAUUCACCCAGAUAUUCGUCGAGAUGAUACUGAGCAGAACAGUUUUAGUUACGAUGCUAUUUUUUGCUUUUGUAUCUUCAGCUUCAAUAAAUCAUAUUGAAAACGAAAUGGUUGAUGCUAAAGAGAAGCGAAUUUUUCCAUUAUUAGCUUUGGGAUCUUUGGGAUCUUUGGGAUUUUUGAGAUUGUCCCGUGGUUUUUUAGGGAGAACUACUGAUAGAUUACAAAAGGCAAAAAAAUACGGAAACUGAAUAUCAUUUAAAUCAAUCGCAUCUAAGAUACAUUUUUAUUCUCAUCUAAAUGUAAAAACUAUGUUUAAUUAUUUAUAACAGCAAAACAAAUUUUAAUUAAAUCAAUUACAAAAAUAAUAUUAAAUUUAUAAUAAAUUUUCUCAUAUUUUUCUGAAAUAAACUAUUUAUUGAUGCGAUAUUUAUCUUUGUAAGCUUAAAUGGAUUCAGUAAUUCCAUAAUAUAAGCAUGUUAAUCUGUGAAUAUAAAUUUUUGAUGUAUUCUUUAACUUACUAAAUAUAUAAAAAUUAUGUCCAUAUAUAACAUGCGUGUGUGUAUAUAUAGAUUUAUAUUUUUUUCAUGGUGUAUUUGGAUUAUUCUAUGUAUAGAACAAACAGUUUUUUAUCAUUUAUAACAUUCCGGAUAAAGGAACUGCAUUGUGCUACUUAUAAAGAUGGAUUAAAUGUAGGAAGAUAAGCUUUCAGAAUCAGAUGUCUGCAUACAUCGAUUCAGUAUUGUUUUCGCGUGUAAUAACUUUACCUUUCUGCACUCAAAUAAUUUAAAUAAAAAGAAAAUUAAAUAAGUUUAUUUAAAGUAUUAUACAUCUUACCGAAAUUUAAAGUGAUUAAUAUUAUUUUUUUACUAUUCGUAUCGUAACUCGAAUAACAAAUAGGUUUCUGUCU